CACAACUGUCUCGGGGCGGCCUCCCCGCCUGCAGGCUCCGCGCCGCCCACUUCCUGCGACCAAAUAAGGCUGGGAGGCGUCUUUAAACCUCGGGGCGGCUGCCGGGGCUGGGGAUUUCCAGCAGCCCUUACCUCCACUUGCAAAGCUGUGGCCACCCUCCUCCCAACCCCCCAGCCUAGAUCUGAGCCCCCAUGGCUCUUCUGUAAUCAACAGGCCACGCGGCUUGUUCCUUGCACAUCAAGGUCAGGAGGAGACGGUGACGAAAUGUUUGGAAACCCAUCCAGCCUGCCAGGAAAGUGUGUGUGCGCGCGCGCGCCCGCACGCGCGCGCCCGCCAUAAUGAAGAGGGCACAAGGCGCUUUCCUCCACAAAGAGAACUGUGACUUUGGAUGCAGUAAAACUGUGACUUUGGAUGCAGUAAAACAUGCAUAAUCCUCUCUGAGGCAUUUCAUUAACAGCCUUCCUGAGUUAGGAUUUCUAGCUACCAGCCCGCCCGGGUAGGUUAUAGAGAAACCAACCCUGUCUCUAUAAAGGGACUUACAGGACCAUUACUUAGGAGAUGAAACGCUCCCGGAUUGAAUUCUCACAACCUAGGCCAAAGUUGGACGACGUUCACUCAAGGUCUUCUUAAACCACCCUGACAUCAUUUUCAGACUCUAGCCCGUGAUGCCUCUUUCUGCAUUUUGGUGGAUGAUAGGAAACUAUAGAAUUCUUCCAGAGCUGAGGGAACGAAAGUCAGGUUUCUUCCUCCGUGUGACAGUUCGUCCAUGUGAGGAAAACAAAAGCAACCCGCUUGACCUCCACUGUCCACUGUGGCCAUUCCUUCAUUAAACCUGCCGUAGUAGAAGACCUUGCUGAAGGAAGGCUCAGCCUCUGCAGUUAACCAGGGCCAGCCCAGAGGGAGCCCCUAAAGAAAAUACAAACUGGCCCUGGGACAUCUCAAAAAAUUGACCUAGCUGAGGAGCACAUUCCUAGAGGAGUCUGCCACCAUAGAGCCAGAGCCCAGCCUCACGGUAACAAAUGGGAGCCAUUACUCUAAAGAGAACUGCUCAGCCUGGUCUCAGAGUGCUUCCCCGCUUCCAACACAGGCUGCUGGGCCAGUCCCAGAGCAGCAGAGAGGAGAGGCAGGGGGCAAGAUGUACAAGAAAGAGAAGUGAGUGAGCUGGGGGUGGGGUGGAGGGGUGGAGCCCACGGGGGCAGUGGUGGGGGGGAGAACACCCUGCCUACCAUGAGCAGCACACUCCUUCACUCAACAAAGUUUUUCUAAACUUGGGCCACCUCGAAAAGGAAAAGAGGAAGAAAGGAGAAUUCUGACCGUGGUAGAAGUCUCCCUCUCAACAAGCAAAUGAGGUGUUAUGAGAGAAGCUAUGGCCUUUCUGGGAAAGCCUUGGAGGUCAGUCCUGCUGCAGAUAUGACAGAGCAGAAUCACUGACUUGAGAAAGUUUUGGUUUUUGAAGCUCUCCAGUCCCUCCUACAAGCCUCUGGGACCACCAAGAAGGUGGCCUUUCAGAGCUGGGGUUGGGAUGAGCUGGGGGAGUUGGUAGGAUUACACAUGGAAUGCCAUUCUCCCCUACCACCCCACUUCUUCACAAACCACAGGGAAGAGAGGAAUGCAGGGCUUCGGUUCCUGGUGUAUCUGCUAAGAAACACUCUAGUUAGCAGAGCACUGAGGACUGGAAGCCAAGCUGAGUCCAUCUGAAGUGGAGCGGAGCCUCCUGGGAUGAUGGUGACUCUUAGACACCUCAGAAUGGAUAUCCCCUAUGUCCAGCCUGUUAAACACUUCAGGGAUUGGUGGGGAGAGGCUAGAGGGGUGGCUCAGCCGUUAAGAACACUAGUUGUUCUUGCAGAGGACCUGGCUUCGGUUCCCGGCAUCCACAUGGUGGCUCACAACUGUCCGUCCAGAGGAUCUGACACCCUCUUCUGACCUCCACAGGCAGCGGGCACAUAUCUGAUGCACAGACAACCAUGCAGGCAAAAACGUUCAUACAAUUAAAUAAUCUGUAAAACUCUCCCGAAGAUGAAUUGUGUAGUGCAUGAGAAAAUCACAUUAGAUUUUAUAAAGAAUGGCAAGAGGCUUCCCAGAAGCCCUGGGGCUACUGCCCAUCCCCCUCCACUGAGUUUCUGUCAUCACUGUUCACUACAGAAUAGAGUUCUAGGGCUGGGAUGUGGCUCCGUGCCUGAGGCAUGGCGUUGCUAGGGGAAGAAGAGAGGAAGAAAGGAAGAGCUUAAGAAGAAAGAAAUGGUAAUAGCAGACACUCCAAUCCCAGAACUCAAGAGGCUGAGGCAGGAAAAUCAAGAGUUUGGGGAUAUAUUGGGCUACAUACCAAUACUAUUUAUGAGAGAAAGAGAGAGAGAGAGAGUUGUUUUCUUCUCUCUAGUCCCCAUGUUGCAUGCCUGCUCUUUCUCUGUCCCUUCCCUUACUCACUGUAGUCAGCACACGUGGAAUGUUAACAUUUACUGGGCGAAGAGACACUACGGAGGGCUCCAUCCGCCCACAACGCCAGGUUCCUUAUGUCCCACUGUUAUUUCCCUUUGUGAAAUAAAGAUGCUACCUUUAGGACCUCCUUGCCUAGAGUUACAAGAGAAAAGAAAGUUGUGGAAAAGAUAGGAAACCAGGACUGAAUCUGGAUCCUGUCUGAAAUAAGUAAAUGUGUUGUGUAGCCUCGGGACAGUUGUCUAGCGCCCCUCGGUUGGUGCUUUGGUUUGGGUUUUUUUGUUUUGUUUUUUUGCCUAUAACAAAUUCACCAUAUUUGGUUUUAUGGGUUUAGAACUGUUAUUUCUCUGCAUUUAUUCCUCCCUUCUCCCUUUCAAGAACUUAAUUUCUCGAAAGAUCCUUACACACAACCCCCACCCAAAAAAAAGGCCCCAGGAUGAGCCUCUGUGAGACUCUACCAAAGGGAGUACUUCCAACAUCAAUUUGGUGUCUUAUCUAGGGGGUCCUUCCAAGGCUGCCCCCACUCCAUCCCUUUUGUAUCCUUCCCACCACGCUGGGAUCUUGAGCUGAUCAGGGACAACCCCUCUGAUGGCUGUGUUUCUUCCCAGGUCCUUCCUGACAGAGCAGAGAGCUUAAAGCCACCCAGUCACGAAGUUAAGCUGAGAAGCUCCUGCAUUUGAUCUCUUUUACCCCUGAGAACCAGGGAGACCCUUCCUCUUUGCUUCAGUUACUUCACCUGUUCUAGGGAAUGCCUGCCACACCAGCCCCCAGCUGUCUGCAUCCCUGGGUACUUUCCCUCCUGCCCCUCCCCCACAGGCCUAGCCAGGUUCCUAGUGCCUUUGUCAGCCCUCAAAGGGAGCUUCUAUAGAUGUCCCCAGUUGCUCCUGUCACUCUGGUAGAGAGACAUCUGGCUGGCUGCAGGGAGAAGAACAAAACAGGUGUGGCUGCCAGGGAGGGCUGACCAGCAGGGCCAAGGGACAGAGACACCCUUUCUUUAAGAGACAAGAACUGCCUGCUUUCCCCGUGAAUUGUGAAUUGCUUUAGCAUAGUCCCCAGGCCACUGUAGAACCAGCCCUGAACAGACUCUCCUGUUGGCCGCCGCCUGGAACUCAGCUUCCCCUACAUCAUCGCAGUGAGCCAGGAAGAAAGGAAUCCCCAAAGAUCCAAUGUGUGCAAUGGAGCAAGCUUUAAAAUAAAAACUAAUAUUGAUAA
This is a long non-coding RNA of Mastomys coucha (southern multimammate mouse), 3645 nucleotides long. RefSeq lists it as uncharacterized. The record is from RefSeq and is a predicted model, not a curated record. NCBI's taxonomy places the organism in Eukaryota, Metazoa, Chordata, Mammalia, Rodentia, Muridae. The transcript is spliced from 2 exons.